CCACGCAGCCGGGGAGAUAGCGGUGCCCUGUACCUGCAAUCCGCUACAGCAGGGGUGAUACCAAUCCGAGGAUUUUUUGCUGUGGAGCUGCCCUUUGCAAGUGGCGUUGACGUCUGGGUCUUGCACAACAGGAAUCUGUGAACCGUGUCAGGUCAGGAAUGGAGCAGCACUAAGCAGAACCUUCUGUGUGAUGCGAGGGUGCCUAGGCUGAGUUAACUACAGAGGUAACGUCCAUGGUGGGAAUUCGACGUGCGGUGCGUGG
Molecule: signal recognition particle RNA, 262 nt
Filed under: Eubacteriales bacterium
Lineage: Bacteria; Bacillati; Bacillota; Clostridia; Eubacteriales
Description: signal recognition particle sRNA large type
Rfam family: Bacterial large signal recognition particle RNA
About the family: The signal recognition particle (SRP) is a universally conserved ribonucleoprotein involved in the co-translational targeting of proteins to membranes. Archaeal SRP consists of a 7S RNA and homologues of the eukaryotic SRP19 and SRP54 proteins.
Source: RNAcentral